UGGGGGAUAUUGCACAAUGGGCGAAAGCCUGAUGCAGCGACGCCGCGUGGGGGAUGAAGGCUUUCGGGUUAUAAACCUCUUUCGCUAUCGAACAAGGCCCGCUUAGGGUGGGUUGAGGGUAGGUGGAGAAGAAGCGCCGGCUAACUACGUGCCAGCAGCCGCGGUAAUACGUAGGGCGCGAGCGUUGUCCGGAAUUAUUGGGCGUAAAGGGCUUGUAGGCGGCUUGUUGCGCCUGCUGUGAAAACGCGGGGCUUAACUUCGCGCGUGCAGUGGGUACGGGCAGGCUUGAGUGUGGUAGGGGUGACUGGAAUUCCAGGUGUAGCGGUGGAAUGCGCAGAUAUCUGGAGGAACACCGAUGGCGAAGGCAGGUCACUGGGCCAUUACUGACGCUGAGGAGCGAAAGCAUGGGUAGCGAACAGG
RNAcentral lists this ribosomal RNA (420 nucleotides) under bacterium. Its description in RNAcentral is "partial 16S ribosomal RNA". It matches the Rfam family "Bacterial small subunit ribosomal RNA", at positions 355 to 776 of the family's 1533-position model. The record is from RNAcentral.